UACGUAGGGUGCAAGCGUUGUCCGGUAUUAUUGGGCGUAAAGGGCUCGUAGGCGGUCUGUCACGUCGGGAGUGAAAACUCAGGGCUUAACCCUGAGCCUGCUUCCGAUACGGGCAGACUAGAGGUAUGCAGGGGAGAACGGAAUUCCUGGUGUAGCGGUGAAAUGCGCAGAUAUCAGGAGGAACACCGGUGGCGAAGGCGGUUCUCUGGGCAUUACCUGACGCUGAGGAGCGAAAGUGUGGGGAGCGAACAGG
This 253-nucleotide ribosomal RNA is filed under the name uncultured bacterium. RNAcentral's name for it is "partial 16S ribosomal RNA". It matches the Rfam family "Bacterial small subunit ribosomal RNA", at positions 524 to 776 of the family's 1533-position model. The record is from RNAcentral.